This 255-nucleotide ribosomal RNA is filed under the name uncultured bacterium. Its description in RNAcentral is "partial 16S ribosomal RNA". It matches the Rfam family "Bacterial small subunit ribosomal RNA", at positions 524 to 776 of the family's 1533-position model. The record is from RNAcentral.
GACGAACCGUGCGAACGUUAUUCGGAAUCACUGGGCUUAAAGCGCGUGUAGGCGGGACGGCACGUCGGCCGCUGAAAUCCCCCGGCUCAACCGGGGAAGGGGCGCCGAUACGACCGCCCUGGAGGGACGUAGGGGGGGGCUGGAACUUCCGGUGGAGCGGUGAAAUGCGUUGAGAUCGGAAGGAACGCCCGUGGCGAAAGCGAGCCCCUGGACGUCUACUGACGCUGAGACGCGAAAGCCAGGGGAGCGAACGGG